AUUGAACGCUGGCGGCAUGCUUUACACAUGCAAGUCGAACGGUAACAGGGUGCUUGCACCGCUGACGAGUGGCGAACGGGUGAGUAAUGCGCCGGAACGUGCCGAGUAGUGGGGGAUAACGCAGCGAAAGUUGUGCUAAUACCGCAUACGUACUGAGGUAGAAAGUGGGGGACCUUCGGGCCUCACGCUAUUCGAGCGGCCGACGUCUGAUUAGCUAGUAGGUGAGGUAAAGGCUCACCUAGGCGAAGACCAGUAGCGGGUCUGAGAGGAUGAUCCGCCACACGGGGACUGAGACACGGCCCAGACUCCUACGGGAGGCAGCAGUGGGGAAUUUUGGACAAUGGGCGAAAGCCUGAUCCAGCCAUGCCGCGUGUCUGAAGAAGGCCUUCGGGUUGUAAAGGACUUUUGUCAGGGAGGAAAUCCCUAGUGCUAAUAACACUGGGGGAUGACAGUACCUGAAGAAUAAGCACCGGCUAACUACGUGCCAGCCGCCGCAGUAA
RNAcentral lists this ribosomal RNA (500 nucleotides) under uncultured bacterium. RNAcentral describes it as "partial 16S ribosomal RNA". It matches the Rfam family "Bacterial small subunit ribosomal RNA", at positions 30 to 523 of the family's 1533-position model. The record is from RNAcentral.